This 436-nucleotide unclassified non-coding RNA is filed under the name Robinsonia berteroi. RNAcentral describes it as "partial contains external transcribed spacer and 18S ribosomal RNA". The stretch from base 380 to 436 matches the Rfam family "Eukaryotic small subunit ribosomal RNA", at positions 1 to 57 of the family's 1831-position model. The record is from RNAcentral. Lineage: Eukaryota; Viridiplantae; Streptophyta; Magnoliopsida; Asterales; Asteraceae.
UGCUUGCGCAACAACUUCCACUUGGCUUACCUCCUCGUUUAUGCGUCAUGACUUGUAUCGUCUUGAGCGUAUUGUGGGUUUCUUGUGUUGCAUACCUAACUAAUGGUAUCGUUUUGAUUGAUUGAAGUCCCUUUUCGUCUUGUGUUGCCUUUGUGAUGCAUGAUGAACCUCGAAGCGGUCUCUAUGUUCCACCACGUUGAUGCUAYUGUUUUGAUGUUSUGGCCCAUUGAGUGUKGCUUGGUUUCGUGGAUACAGAACAUGAUUUGGGCAUAGGGUCACUCGUGACUCUUGUUUUGUCCUUUAUCAGUGUUCUUUAUAACGACGGUUCAUGCGCGCCUAGGGUWGUACCUGCGCGAUGUUCUUUGUCRAAGAGGAAUGCUACCUGGUUGAUCCUGCCAGUAGUCAUAUGCUUGUCUCAAAGAUUAAGCCAUGCAUG